This 253-nucleotide ribosomal RNA is filed under the name uncultured bacterium. RNAcentral describes it as "partial 16S ribosomal RNA". It matches the Rfam family "Bacterial small subunit ribosomal RNA", at positions 524 to 776 of the family's 1533-position model. The record is from RNAcentral.
UACAGAGGUCUCAAGCGUUGUUCGGAUUCAUUGGGCGUAAAGGGUGCGUAGGUGGUGCCGUAAGUCAGGUGUGAAAUCCCGGGGCUCAACCCCGGAACUGCACUUGAUACUGCGGUGCUCGAGGACUGGAGAGGAGAUCGGAAUUCAUGGUGUAGCAGUGAAAUGCGUAGAUAUCAUGAGGAAGACCAGUGGCGAAGGCGGUUACCUGGACAGUUACUGACGCUCAGGCACGAAAGCAUGGGGAGCAAAAGGG